GACGAACGCUGGCGGCGUGCCUAAUACAUGCAAGUCGAGCGAACAGAAAAGGAGCUUGCUCCUUUGACGUUAGCGGCGGACGGGUGAGUAACACGUGGGCAACCUACCCUAUAGUUUGGGAUAACUCCGAGAAACCGGGGCUAAUACCGAAUAAUCUCUUUUGCUUCAUGGUGAAAGACUGAAAGACGGUUUCGGCUGUCGCUAUAGGAUGGGCCCGCGGCGCAUUAGCUAGUUGGUGAGGUAACGGCUCACCAAGGCGACGAUGCGUAGCCGACCUGAGAGGGGGAUCGGCCACACUGGGACUGAGACACGGCCCAGACUCCUACGGGAGGCAGCAGUAGGGAAUCUUCCACAAUGGGCGAAAGCCUGAUGGAGCAACGCCGCGUGAGUGAAGAAGGUUUUCGGAUCGUAAAACUCUGUUGUAAGGGAAGAACAAGUACAGUAGUAACUGGCUGUACCCUGACGGUACCUUAUUAGAAAGCCACGGCUAACUACGUGCCAGCAGCCGCGGUAA
RNAcentral lists this ribosomal RNA (514 nucleotides) under uncultured bacterium. Its description in RNAcentral is "partial 16S ribosomal RNA". It matches the Rfam family "Bacterial small subunit ribosomal RNA", at positions 28 to 523 of the family's 1533-position model. The record is from RNAcentral.